Molecule: long non-coding RNA, 447 nt
Organism: Humulus lupulus (European hop)
Lineage: Eukaryota; Viridiplantae; Streptophyta; Magnoliopsida; Rosales; Cannabaceae
Exons: 4
Source: RefSeq, a predicted model, not a curated record
CACGACCAUUACUCUGAAAAACAGAGAGAAAAUAAAACCAAAAACCAUUUCUUGGCUGGUUUGAAGAAAUUCUAAGGAGAUCCAAGUGAAAUCAAAACCAAAGAAGUGGAUUAAGCUUAGUUCUAGCCUUUUUUAUGAUAUUUCUUGGUGGUUUCCAAGUGGUUUGAGGUUUAGAAAAGCUAGAAGAGAUUGUUUUCGCCGAAAAGUUGCUCGGAUAAUCACAUCAACACCUAAGACACCACUUGUUACACGGUGAAAUAUAUUUUGGACAGAAGGUAGAGAAAGAAAUGAGUGAAUGACAUAAGGAGAACUGAAGCAUGGUCCUGACCCUGAUUUGUACUUAUGAACAUAUCGACCUUUUUGUGGGUUAUUUCAGUUAUCAGUGUGAUGUUUGUAAUAAAGUGUGAAGUUAUGUUUUGAAAACAAAUUGGGUUAUUUAAUACUUAA